UGGUACCCGGCGGGGGGCUAGCAUAUCAAUAAGCGGAGGAAAAGACCAACAGGGAUUGCCCUAGUAACGGCGAGUGAAGCGGCAACAGCUCAAAUUUGAAAUCUGGCUCUUUCAGGGUCCGAGUUGUAAUUUGCAGAGGGUGCUUUGGUGUUGGCGGCGGUCUAAGUUCCUUGGAACAGGACAUCGCAGAGGGUGAGAAUCCCGUAUGUGGUCGCCUGCCUUCGCCGUGUAAAGCCCCUUCGACGAGUCGAGUUGUUUGGGAAUGCAGCUCUAAAUGGGAGGUAAAUUUCUUCUAAAGCUAAAUACCGGCCAGAGACCGAUAGCGCACAAGUAGAGUGAUCGAAAGAUGAAAAGCACUUUGGAAAGAGAGUCAAACAGCACGUGAAAUUGUUAAAAGGGAAGCGCUUGCAGCCAGACUUGCCUGUAGUUGCUCGCCUGGGCUUUUGCCCGGGUUACUCUUCUGCAGGCAGGCCAGCAUCAGUUUGGGCGGUCGGAUAAAGGUCCCUGACACGUAUCUCCCUUCGGGGUUAACAUAUAGGGGGGACGUAAUGCGACCAGCCUGGACUGAGGUCCGCGCAUCUGCUAGGAUGCUGGCGUAAUGGCUGUAAGCGGCCCGUCUUGAAACACGGACCAAGGAGUCUAACAUCUAUGCGAGUGUUUGGGUGUCAAGCCCGAGCGCGUAAUGAAAGUGAACGGAGGUGGGAACCCCUCGGGGCGCACCAUCGACCGAUCCUGAUGUCUUCGGAUGGAUUUGAGUAAGAGCAUAGCUGUUGGGACCCGAAAGAUGGUGAACUAUGCUUGAAUAGGGUGAAGCCAGAGGAAACUCUGGUGGAGGCUCGCAGCGGUUCUGACGUGCAAAUCGAUCGUCAAAUUUGGGCAUAGGGGCGAAAGACUAAUCGAACUAUCUAGUAGCUGGUUCCUGCAGAAGUCCCCUCCCCGAAAGUAAA
Molecule: ribosomal RNA, 947 nt
Filed under: Periconia byssoides
Lineage: Eukaryota; Fungi; Ascomycota; Dothideomycetes; Pleosporales; Periconiaceae
Description: partial large subunit ribosomal RNA
Rfam family: Eukaryotic large subunit ribosomal RNA
Source: RNAcentral